This 450-nucleotide long non-coding RNA is filed under the name Androctonus crassicauda. The record is from RNAcentral. Lineage: Eukaryota; Metazoa; Arthropoda; Arachnida; Scorpiones; Buthidae.
CUUAAUUCUGUUUACAUUUUAUUAAUUUAUUUUCUUUAACAUUAUUUAUGUUAUAUGUUUUUUGAAUUUUAUAAAACAACAUCUAAUUCUUCCCUCUUGAUAUUUUGUGUUCUAAUUUGCAUACUAUUAUUUUGUGAUGAUAAUACCCUUGGUGAUAUUUUUACAUUUUUAUUUUUAACCAUGUAUUGUUUAGCUCUACCUUUAAAUACAGGGUGGAGCAGAGAAAAGACAUGUUUUGUAAACUGCUAGUACUCAUCGAGGAAUGGGCUAAUGAUUUUGGGCAAUCUCUGGCAGACAGCUCAGACAACAUAGUUUCAGUCACUAUGGAACGUUGGAGUGUAGAGCAUCACAUGUUUGCUGUCGAGCAGUUUUUUAGAAACAAUGAUUCUGUGAUAAUGAUUCAAUGUCUUUUCCAUCGAAAGUUUAAUGCCAAAUGUCAAGGUGCAGUCU